Long non-coding RNA from Oncorhynchus tshawytscha (Chinook salmon), 922 nucleotides. Lineage: Eukaryota; Metazoa; Chordata; Actinopteri; Salmoniformes; Salmonidae. The record is from Ensembl.
CCCAGUCAGUCAGUCAGUCAGUCAGUUUCAACCAGUCAGUCAGUCAGUAAGUUUCAGCCCAGUCAGUCAGUCAAUCCGUUUCAGCCCAGUCAGUCAGUCAAUCCGUUAGUUUCUGCCCAGUCACCCAGUCAGUCAGUCAGUUUCAGCCCAGUCAGUCAGUCAGUUUCAGCCCAGUCAGUCAGUCAGUUUCAGCCAAGUCAGUCAGUCAGUCAGUCAGUUUCAGCCCAGUCAGUCAGUCAGUUUCAGCCCAGUCAGUCAGUCAGUCAGUUUCAGCCCAGUAAGUCAGUCAGCCAGUUUCUGCCUAGUCAGUCAGUCAGUCCGUUAGUUUCAGCCCAGUCAGUCAGUCAGUCAGUCAGUUUCAGCCCAGUCAGUCAGUCAGUCAGUUUCUGCCCAGUCAGUCAGUCAGUCCGUUUGUUUCUGCCCAGUCAGUCAGUCCGUUAGUUUCAGCCCAGUCAGUCAGUCAGCCAGUUUCAGCCCAGUCAGUCAGUCAGUCAGUUUCAGCCCAGUCAGUCAGUCAGUUUCAGCCCAGUCAGUCAGUCAGUUUCAGCCCAGUCAGUCAGUCAGUCAGUUUCAGCCCAGUCAGUCAGUCAGCCAGUUUCUGCCUAGUCAGUCAGUCAGUCAGUUUCAGCCCAGUCAGUCAGUCAGUCAGUUUCAGCCCAGUCAGUCAGUCAGUCAGUUUCAGCCCAGUCAGUCAGUCAGCCAGUUUCUGCCCAGUCAGUCAGUCAGUUUCAGCCCAGUCAUCAGUCAGUCAGUCAGUUUCAGCCCAGUCAGUCAGUCAGUUUCAGCCAGUCAGUUUCAGCCCAGUCACCCAGUCAGUCAGUCAGUUUCAACCAGUCAGUCAGUCAGUAAGUUUCAGCCCAGUCAGUCAGUCAAUCCGUUUCAGCCCAGUCAGUCAGUCAAUCCGUUAGUUUCUGCCCAGUCA